AAUACUAGAGCUAAUACAUGCAAACAGAGCUCCGACCGGAGACGGAAGGAGUGCUUUUAUUAGAUCAAAACCAAUCGGUGGCGGGUUCGCCCGUUAUCGUACAACUUGGUGACUCUGAAUAACUUUACGCUGAUCGCACGGUCAUCGCACCGGCGACGCAUCUUUCAAAUGUCUGCCUUAUCAACUGUCGAUGGUAGGUUCUGCGCCUACCAUGGUUGUAACGGGUAACGGGGAAUCAGGGUUCGAUUCCGGAGAGGGAGCCUGAGAAACGGCUACCACAUCCAAGGAAGGCAGCAGGCGCGCAAAUUACCCACUCCCGGCACGGGGAGGUAGUGACGAAAAAUAACGAUACGGGACUCAUCCGAGGCCCCGUAAUCGGAAUGAGUACACUCUAAACCCUUUAACGAGGAUCAAUUGGAGGGCAAGUCUGGUGCC
Molecule: ribosomal RNA, 435 nt
Filed under: Trigonopterus sp. 595 AR-2022a
Lineage: Eukaryota; Metazoa; Arthropoda; Insecta; Coleoptera; Curculionidae
Description: SSU rRNA
Rfam family: Eukaryotic small subunit ribosomal RNA
Source: RNAcentral